Molecule: long non-coding RNA, 826 nt
Filed under: Equus caballus (horse)
Lineage: Eukaryota; Metazoa; Chordata; Mammalia; Perissodactyla; Equidae
Description: lncRNA (ENSECAG00000031169.3)
Source: RNAcentral
UUUCACAGCUACCAGGGUUUUAAAGCUACUUAUUUUCAAUGCUACCACAGGACUGGGACUUGGGGAAUGGAAAUAUGAUCCCGUAGGCCCAUACUUGCACCAACUUAUGUCUGGUGCAACAAUGACACCAACGAUGUCUCCUGCUUACAACAACAAAAAUUUCUUUCUCAUCAUGCUGCAUGUCCAUCAAAGGUCGUCUUCUCUCGAGGCAGUCUCUAACUGGAAUGUUGGCACCGGUUGCAUUUCAUUGGGUAAAGCUAUACAUUUGUCAGGUCUCCAGGACUUUGAUUAACAGUGGGAGUAACAGAGCAAUCACUGUCUUAGUAACAACUUCAAAGGGAAGAUGCAUCAAGUUGAGGAAGACAUUGAUACAGGCUUUCUUCAGAGUCCUUAUCAAAGCUAUAAGGAUAUAAGCUUGGCCAUCUCUCCCACCACAGAAAGUCUGUCUUGAGAAUGGAACCUACAUACAGAAGGAAGAAAAGCCGAAAGAUGGAGAUGGAUGAGGCAGACAACAACAAAGAAAACUCCAAUAUGUCAUUUGUGUCACUGAAUUUUGAUAUGAAGAAUCAAGCUGGUUCCAGAUAUGGGAGGUAGUAGGACACAUGCGGAGCCAAUCAGAGCCCUUACAUGGGACUUUGGGGAUUCAGAGAGAGCAGCAUCUGCUGGUGGUAGAAGCUUGAAAACAUGAAAUUCACAAGCUGUCAGUGGCCAUGUCAAUUUCCAUUCAGGAGAGACCCGCCUAUAGCUGGAGAAAAUGGAGUUAACUCAGGGAGGAAUCGCUUAGGUGUGUUAAAGUGUAUGAAACACAGCCUCUGACAUCAGGAGG